Zonotrichia albicollis (white-throated sparrow) is the source of this 288-nucleotide non-coding RNA. The record is from RefSeq and is a predicted model, not a curated record. NCBI's taxonomy places the organism in Eukaryota, Metazoa, Chordata, Aves, Passeriformes, Passerellidae.
CCCAAACCCACCCCAAUCCUGGGAGCUGCUGGAGCGCUGCCCGAGGGUGCUCUACUACAGGGAUGCUCUCUCCUUUAAUAGGUACGAGGUCGCCACGGUGACGGAGAAGGGCGUGGAGCUGGAGGGACCCCUGACCCUGGAGGCCAACUGGGACAUCGCCCACGUGGUCAGAGGUUUCGAGUGAUCUCCAGGAGCUGCUCCGGCCUCGUCAAAUCCCCAUUUUUAUCCUUCCCUCUGGAAUGGCAAAUCUGGCAUUUUUUGGGAAUAAAAUCGAUUGUUUAAGACCAA